UCCUGACCGUGCAAAGGUAGCAUAAUCACUUGCCUAUUAAUUGUAGGCUAGAAUGAAAGGACAAACGAGAAUACACCUGUCUCCUUUAAGCCCAUAAAAAUUUAUCUUUAAGUGAAGAAGCUUAAAUAAAAGUGCAGGACAAGAAGACCCUAUAGAGCUUUACCUAAAAGGUACAUAAACAGUAACUAGCGGUUCGGUUGGGGCGACCAGGGGACACUUAUCACCCCUAAAAUAUAAGAUAUACUAAUCCCACUAAAGAUCCUUUUUCAAGAUCAAAGAAUCAAGCUACCUUAGGGAUAACAGGCUAAUCCUCUUAGAGAGCCCUUAUCGACAAGAGGGGUUGGCACCUCGAUGUUGGCUUAGGACGUCUCC
RNAcentral lists this ribosomal RNA (372 nucleotides) under Tubifex tubifex (sludge worm). RNAcentral's name for it is "partial 16S Ribosomal RNA". It matches the Rfam family "Bacterial large subunit ribosomal RNA", at positions 1940 to 2549 of the family's 2925-position model. The record is from RNAcentral. Lineage: Eukaryota; Metazoa; Annelida; Clitellata; Tubificida; Naididae.